CACGUAGGGCGCGAGCGUUGUCCGGAAUUAUUGGGCGUAAAGAGCUCGUAGGCGGCCUGUUGCGUCCGCUGUGAAAGCCCCGGGGCUUAACCCCGGGUCUGCAGUGGAUACGGGCAGGCUAGAGGUAGGUAGGGGAGAAUGGAAUUCCCGGUGUAGCGGUGAAAUGCGCAGAUAUCGGGAGGAACACCGGUGGCGAAGGCGGUUCUCUGGGCCUUACCUGACGCUGAGGAGCGAAAGCUAGGGGAGCAAACGGG
This 254-nucleotide ribosomal RNA is filed under the name uncultured bacterium. RNAcentral's name for it is "partial 16S ribosomal RNA". It matches the Rfam family "Bacterial small subunit ribosomal RNA", at positions 524 to 776 of the family's 1533-position model. The record is from RNAcentral.